Molecule: ribosomal RNA, 450 nt
Filed under: uncultured bacterium
Lineage: Bacteria
Description: partial 16S ribosomal RNA
Rfam family: Bacterial small subunit ribosomal RNA
Source: RNAcentral
GUGGGGAAUAUUGGACAAUGGGCGAAAGCCUGAUCCAGCCAUGCCGCGUGUGUGAAGAAGGUCUUCGGAUUGUAAAGCACUUUAAGUUGGGAGGAAGGGUAGUAACCUAAUACGUUGCUACUUUGACGUUACCGACAGAAUAAGCACCGGCUAACUUCGUGCCAGCAGCCGCGGUAAUACGAAGGGUGCAAGCGUUAAUCGGAAUUACUGGGCGUAAAGCGCGCGUAGGUGGUUCAGUAAGUUGGAAGUGAAAUCCCCGGGCUCAACCUGGGAACUGCUUUAAAAACUGCUGAGCUAGAGUACGGUAGAGGGUGGUGGAAUUUCCUGUGUAGCGGUGAAAUGCGUAGAUAUAGGAAGGAACACCAGUGGAGAAGGCGACCACCUGGACUGAUACUGACACUGAGGUGCGAAAGCGUGGGGAGCAAACAGGAUUAGAAACCCGUGUAGUCC